CUAUGGCCCCCAAAUCCCGCCCCCCUAUUUUUCACGCUUUAUUUUUGGCCAGUUCUAAUCUGAAACGACGCCGUUUCGUAUUAAUCCACCAACCACAGCCCUCCUUUCUUUUCUUUUUCCUUUUCUUUCGCAAAAUGCACGAUCGACCUCUCUGCUUCUCUUUUUUCCUUUUCUUUUAUUUCUCGUCGGCGCCUACAGUUUCUGACCAUCUCCUCCAAUCUUAUUGACGGAACGGCGUCGCUUUCUUCCGAGAGGUGCUUCAUCGACCUGCUUUGAUUUAUUUUCACUUUUCUUUUACUCUCAAUUUUCCUUUUCUUCUCCUGCUUCUUCGUCCACCUUCCGCUGCCCACAAUUCUUAAUUGCACCUCCUUCUACCUACAUCCGCCACCUACUUCUUCUCUUCGCAUACAAUUCUUUGCACCGUUCUCUGUCUUCCGAUUUUCUGUUAAUUACCAGUCCCAAAUCCGGCCUACAACUGUUCCCUUCCGCCGCCGCCGCCGCCGACGGCUUUUCUAGGCUCGCCGGAGCUGCCCCUUCGCAGGUUCAGGCGGCGUCUACCUACUUUAUUUCCUCCUCCGCCAAUAUCAGGAUUUAAUUACUCAGAAAUCGACAGGUUUUGUGCCUCAUAUCUCUUUCAAAAAUUAGGGAAUAAUUUUUUUGGAUUUUCCGAGUUUGUUGUUUCCGGCAAAAAUAUAGGCAUGGGGGGUUCUAAGUGAGCCAGGCUUCGUUCCAUAUUUCGGACUUCGAUCGACCGAGAGAUUAGCUCAGUUGCUAGCUGAUAAUAGCACAAGAGAUUAUGAUUUUUUUUACGAAGAGUACUUCCUCGCAUGAUGGCAAGAGUGUUGACCGGGAACAAGAACGUAAGUUCAACGAGCUUAAAGCUUCUGACACAGUGAAAGCACCUGCACGAAUCAUUGGUUCUCAGGCGACUAAGAAAAAGGGAGCUACAUGUGUUCUGAUUUAAGGAAUUGGAUAAGAACAGACUUGGGAGGUAAUUAGGGUGGCAGAACUUUUGGAACAGCAGGAUAUAUUAUUCAAAUGAGAAAAAUGCUGUAAUCCGUCAAAGGCUCAUAUUCUUCGAUUGAUUGAAAAAUGCUGUAAUCGUACAAGCAUAUGUAAGUUUAAUAUUCCGAUGCAUGUGAAAAAUUAGUAGACAAACAAAUACAUUGUUGAGUUACGGGCUUGAUUCUGCCAACAUAUUAUGUAUGAUCUUUUUUGGUAUUAUAUAAGUGCAAUCAUAUCUGA
Long non-coding RNA from Erythranthe guttata (spotted monkey flower), 1245 nucleotides. RefSeq lists it as uncharacterized. Lineage: Eukaryota; Viridiplantae; Streptophyta; Magnoliopsida; Lamiales; Phrymaceae. The record is from RefSeq and is a predicted model, not a curated record.